This 234-nucleotide ribosomal RNA is filed under the name uncultured bacterium. Its description in RNAcentral is "partial 16S ribosomal RNA". It matches the Rfam family "Bacterial small subunit ribosomal RNA", at positions 99 to 334 of the family's 1533-position model. The record is from RNAcentral.
CGGACGGCUGAGUAACGCGUGGGUGACCUGCCCCGAAGUGGGGGAAUAACUGCCCGAAAGGGUGGCUAAUACCGCAUGUGGUGGUGCCUUCAUUGGCACCAGUAAAGCCGCAAGGCGCUUCGGGAGGGGCCUGCGUCCGAUUAGCUCGUUGGUGGGGUAACGGCUCACCAAGGCGACGAUCGGUAGGUGGUCUGAGAGGACGAUCACCCAGACUGGGACUGAGACACGGCCCAG